Molecule: long non-coding RNA, 343 nt
Organism: Bactrocera latifrons
Lineage: Eukaryota; Metazoa; Arthropoda; Insecta; Diptera; Tephritidae
Exons: 3
Source: RefSeq, a predicted model, not a curated record
CCUGAACGAGCCAGUAUGUUAUAAUUUGGCAGCAAUUAGCAAGGUCGACGUGAGGAAAUUUUCUCGAUUGGAGACCAUGGUAACUCUUCGAUUUAGCUAUGUGUCUUCUUCACAUGCCAGAUGACAAUUCCAAGACCUCAAAAGUAUGUAGUGUAGACAUCAAUUGGGUUCCGAUUGAAAUAGCAUAGAGCGCAAUGAAGUGCGAUCUUGGGAGGAAGACAAAUUUUACUACAUCCGUGUCCAAUUCAGUGAAAACCGGCGACAGCCUUUGUUGUUGGCGAAUAAUGCUUAACAUGUUGCCUUGGAUUUCCAGUAUUUACAUAUAAGAAAGAAAUGCAGAUAC